GAUGAAGAACGUAGUGAAAUGCGAUAAGUAGUGUGAAUUGCAGAAUUCAGUGAAUCAUCGAAUCUUUGAACGCACAUUGCGCCCCAUGGUAUUCCGUGGGGCAUGCCUGUUCGAGCGUCAUUUACCCCCUCAAGCUCCGCUUGGUGUUGGGCGUCUGUCCCGCUUCGCGCGCGGACUCGCCCCAAAGGUAUUGGCAGCGGUCGUGCCAGCUUCUCGCGCAGCACAUUGCGCUUCUCGAGGCACCGGUGGGCCCGCGUCCAUCAAGCUCACCCCCCCAGUUUGACCUCGGAUCAGGUAGGGAUACCCGCUGAACUUAAGCAUAUCAAGCGGAGGA
RNAcentral lists this unclassified non-coding RNA (334 nucleotides) under soil metagenome. RNAcentral describes it as "partial contains 5.8S ribosomal RNA, internal transcribed spacer 2, and large subunit ribosomal RNA". The stretch from base 1 to 120 matches the Rfam family "5.8S ribosomal RNA", at positions 35 to 154 of the family's 154-position model. The record is from RNAcentral.